CCUGACGACAUUAGCGAGUGUGAACCACCUGAUUCCAUCCCGAACUCAGAAGUGAAACCACUCAGCGCCGAUGGUAGUGUGGGGUUUCCCCAUGUGAGAGUAGGUCAUUGUCAGGC
This 116-nucleotide ribosomal RNA is filed under the name Gammaproteobacteria bacterium. Lineage: Bacteria; Pseudomonadati; Pseudomonadota; Gammaproteobacteria. RNAcentral also lists the same sequence under 1 other name. The record is from RNAcentral.